RNAcentral lists this ribosomal RNA (426 nucleotides) under uncultured prokaryote. RNAcentral describes it as "bacterial SSU rRNA". It matches the Rfam family "Bacterial small subunit ribosomal RNA", at positions 355 to 796 of the family's 1533-position model. The record is from RNAcentral.
UGGGGAAUUUUCCGCAAUGGGGGGAACCCUGACGGAGCAACGCCGCGUGCGGGAGGACGGCCUGUGGGUUGUAAACCGCUUUUCUCUGGGAAGAAGAACUGACGGUACCAGAGGAAUCAGCAUCGGCUAACUCCGUGCCAGCAGCCGCGGUAAGACGGAGGAUGCAAGCGUUAUCCGGAAUUAUUGGGCGUAAAGAGUCCGUAGGCGGUUUAGCAAGUCAGAUGUUAAAGACUGCAGCUCAACUGUGGGCGAGCAUCUGAAACUGUUGAACUAGAGAGCGGUAGGGGUAGAGGGAAUUCCCAGUGUAGCGGUGAAAUGCGUAGAUAUUGGGAAGAACACCAGUGGCGAAGGCGCUCUACUGGGCCGUGACUGACGCUGAGGGACGAAAGCUAGGGGAGCGAAAGGGAUUAGAUACCCCCGUAGUCC